RNAcentral lists this ribosomal RNA (448 nucleotides) under Proasellus lescherae. Its description in RNAcentral is "partial 16S ribosomal RNA". It matches the Rfam family "Bacterial large subunit ribosomal RNA", at positions 1859 to 2597 of the family's 2925-position model. The record is from RNAcentral. Lineage: Eukaryota; Metazoa; Arthropoda; Malacostraca; Isopoda; Asellidae.
CUGCCUAUGAAUAAUUUAAAUGGCCGCAGUAUCUUGACUGUGCAAAGGUAGCAUAAUCAUUUGCCUCUUAAUUGGGGGCUAGUAUGAAGGAGGCGACGAAAUUUAGGCUAUUGGGUUGUAGUGUGAAAUUGACAUAAGAGUUAAAAGGCUCUUAUGAGCCAAAGGGACGAUAAGACCCUAUAAAACUUUACUAUAAGACAAACUAAAUAGAUAGGGUUUAAGUUUUAUAGUUUAGCUGGGGCGGCCUGUGUAAAAACAACUAUAGUAAAAAUAUAUUAAAUAAAAUUUAAGAUCUCUUGCGGGAAAUAAGCAAGUUACUUUAGGGAUAACAGCAUAAUCCUCCCAGAGAGUCCUAAUUGGCGGGAGGGCUUAUGACCUCGAUGUUGAAUUGGGGAGUCUAGUGUAAGUAGAAAUACACUAAGAGAGUCUGUUCGACUCUUAAAUCCUC